This is a long non-coding RNA of Arachis stenosperma, 610 nucleotides long. RefSeq lists it as uncharacterized. The record is from RefSeq and is a predicted model, not a curated record. NCBI's taxonomy places the organism in Eukaryota, Viridiplantae, Streptophyta, Magnoliopsida, Fabales, Fabaceae. The transcript has 3 exons.
UCGUGACAAGAGGAGUGCAAUUAUUAUACAACUUGCAUGCGUGUUACACGCUUACACAUGUUCAUAGAACUGUAGAAGGAGAAAUUUCCCUCAAUAAAUUGUCCCUCUCUAGUUGCACACUCAGUAUCACGUUUCUACAUGCUAUAUCACUUCGAUCCUAAACAAAAUGGAGUCCAGUCAUCUGCUACCCCUUUCAGCACUUUUUUGUCUUGCAAUUCUGGGAAGCCAUGUGCAUGCAUCACUGCCUGCUGAAGAUUACUGGCAAACACUCUGGCCUAACACUCCCAGGCCUAAAGCUUUCAAGGACCUACUCGUGCAGCCUGGUCACAACCCAACUCAGUGAGUUUGCGGAUGGUGAUAGAGCAGAGGAUGACUCAGCUUUAUUCGGUUUAUUUUGUUAUAGUAUCUCUCACUUUUGAUUAUUGUACUUAUUACCUUAGAGGCUUAAACUUUAAGAGACAUGAUGCAUCUGUUUUAACUUCAAAACUUUACUGUAUUUCUGUUUUGGCUAACCGGCCUAAAUUCUGCAGGCUGUGACUAAUUCUCUUUUGUAUAUACAUAUUAUGUUUUAGUUAUCGUAUGUGAACGCUUCCGCUUUUGUAUCUUUGUU